GCUUAUACACCAUAGGACAACAAUUGACAAGAGUAGAAACUCAACUUCAGACAUUCAAAUCAAGAGAAUACAAGCCUGAUAGAGGAAAAACCUCUAAAACAUCCACAGAAAAAAGGGUUUUAUUUAAACCUGCAGAUCUAGAACAGUCACCUAUUAAACUAGGAGACCAGUCAGAAAUAGUAAGUGAACUAACUAAAAGGUUAGCAGAAUUAGGAUUGGAAGCUAAGGAUUCUAAAAAGAAAACCAUAGCCCCAUUAACUAAAUCUCUAAACAUUCAAGAAGAAUUAGAGCAAAGGUUAAAGACCUUAAGUAUUGCUCCUAUAAAUCAAGGACAAGAAGAAACUGAUUCUGAAAGUUCCUCUAAUGAAGAAGAA
Molecule: unclassified non-coding RNA, 374 nt
Filed under: Hevea brasiliensis (rubber tree)
Lineage: Eukaryota; Viridiplantae; Streptophyta; Magnoliopsida; Malpighiales; Euphorbiaceae
Source: RNAcentral